This 914-nucleotide ribosomal RNA is filed under the name uncultured bacterium. RNAcentral describes it as "bacterial SSU rRNA". It matches the Rfam family "Bacterial small subunit ribosomal RNA", at positions 8 to 916 of the family's 1533-position model. The record is from RNAcentral.
AGAGUUUGAUCCUGGCUCAGGAUGAACGCUAGCGGCAGGCUUAACACAUGCAAGUCGAGGGGCAGCAUAAUGCAUAGCAAUAUGUAUGAUGGCGACCGGCGGACGGGUGCGUAACGCGUAUGCAACUUUCCCAUCACAGGGGGAUAAUCUGGAGAAAUUCGGUCUAAUACCCCAUAACAUCAGGCAGGGCAUCCUGUUUGGUUGAAAUUUUCGGAGGUGAUGGAUGGGCAUGCGUAGCAUUAGCUUGUUGGUGAGGUAAUGGCUCACCAAGGCGACGAUGCUUAGGGGGACUGAGAGGUUAACCCCCCACACUGGGACUGAGACACGGCCCAGACUCCUACGGGAGGCAGCAGUGAGGAAUAUUGGUCAAUGGACGGAAGUCUGAACCAGCCAUGCCGCGUGCAGGAAGACGGCUCUAUGAGUUGUAAACUGCUUUUGUACGAGGGUAAAGUGAGGCACGUGUGCCUUUUUGAAAGUAUCGUACGAAUAAGGAUCGGCUAACUCCGUGCCAGCAGCCGCGGUAAUACGGAGGAUCCGAGCGUUAUCCGGAUUUAUUGGGUUUAAAGGGUGCGCAGACGGCGCGGUAAGUUAGAGGUGAAAGCACGGUGCUUAACAUCGUAAUUGCCUCUGAUACUGUCGUGCUGGAGAUUGGUUGCGGAAGGCGGAAUGUGUGGUGUAGCGGUGAAAUGCUUAAAUAUCACACAGAACCCCGAUUGCGAAGGCAGCUUUCCAAGCCACAUCUGACGUUCAUGCACGAAAGCGUGGGUAGCGAACAGGAUUAGAUACCCUGGUAGUCCACGCAGUAAACGAUGAUUACUCGUUGUCGGCGAUAUACGGUCGGUGACUAAGCGAAAGCGAUAAGUAAUCCACCUGGGGAGUACGUUCGCAAGAAUGAAACUCAAAGGAAUUGACGG